RNAcentral lists this ribosomal RNA (851 nucleotides) under Acrobeloides buchneri. RNAcentral's name for it is "SSU rRNA". It matches the Rfam family "Eukaryotic small subunit ribosomal RNA", at positions 57 to 914 of the family's 1831-position model. The record is from RNAcentral. Lineage: Eukaryota; Metazoa; Nematoda; Chromadorea; Rhabditida; Cephalobidae.
GUCUAAGUAUAAACGAUUUAAUCGUGAAACCGCGAAUGGCUCAUUAUAACAGCUAUAAUUUACUUGAUCUUGACACAAUCCUACUUGGAUAACUGUGGUAAUUCUAGAGCUAAUACAUGCAUUAAAGCUCUGACCUCACGGGAAGAGUGCAUUUAUUAGAACAAAACCAAGCGGCUUCGGCUGUUUCUGGUUGACUCAUAGUAACUGAGCUGAUCGCAUGGUCUUGCACCGGCGACGUGUCUUUCAAGUAUCUGCCGUAUCAACUUUCGAUGGUAGUGUAUCUGACUACCAUGGUGAUCACGCGUAACGGAGAAUAAGGGUUCGGCUCCGGAGAGUUCGCCUGAGAAAUCGCGAACACAUCUAAGGAAGGCAGCAGGCGCGAAAAUUACCCACUCUCAGCACGAGGAGGUAGUGACGAAAAAUAACGAGACCGUUCUCUUAUGAGGCCGGUCAUCGGAAUGGGUACAAUUUAAACCCUUUAACGAGUAUCUAUGAGAGGGCAAGUCUGGUGCCAGCAGCCGCGGUAAUUCCAGCUCUCAAAGUGCAUAGAAUUAUUGCUGCGGUUAAAAAGCUCGUAGUUGGAUCUGUGCCAUAGGACGUGGUCCACCUUCGGGUGCGUACUACGCUCCUAGGCUUUUUGCUGGUUUUCCCGUCGUAGCCUUCACUGGUUGCGGCGGGUGGCUGGCGAGUUUACUUUGAGAAAAUCAGAGUGCUCAAUACAGGCGUAUCGCUUGAAUGAUUGUGCAUGGAAUAAUAGAAAAGGAUUUCGGUCCUCUUUUAUUGGUUUUGUGGACUGAGAUAAUGGUUAACAGGGACAAACGGGGGCAUUCGUAUCUCUGCGUGAGAGGUGA